UACAGAGGUCCCAAGCGUUGUUCGGAUUCAUUGGGCGUAAAGGGUGCGUAGGCGGCGGGGCAAGUCAGGUGUGAAAUCUCGGGGCUCAACCCCGAAACUGCACUUGAUACUGCCUUGCUCGAGUACUGGAGAGGAGACUGGAAUUUACGGUGUAGCAGUGAAAUGCGUAGAUAUCGUAAGGAAGACCAGUGGCGAAGGCGAGUCUCUGGACAGUUACUGACGCUGAGGCACGAAGGCCAGGGGAGCAAACGGG
RNAcentral lists this ribosomal RNA (253 nucleotides) under uncultured bacterium. Its description in RNAcentral is "partial 16S ribosomal RNA". It matches the Rfam family "Bacterial small subunit ribosomal RNA", at positions 524 to 776 of the family's 1533-position model. The record is from RNAcentral.